RNAcentral lists this ribosomal RNA (774 nucleotides) under uncultured Neocallimastigales. Its description in RNAcentral is "partial large subunit ribosomal RNA". It matches the Rfam family "Eukaryotic large subunit ribosomal RNA", at positions 22 to 645 of the family's 3401-position model. Lineage: Eukaryota; Fungi; Neocallimastigomycota; Neocallimastigomycetes; Neocallimastigales. The record is from RNAcentral.
AUAUCAGUCAUGCAUAGCAUAUCAAUAAGCGGAGGAAAAGAAACUAACAAGGAUUCCCUUAGUAACGGCGAGUGAAGCGGGAAGAGCUCAAAUUUGAAAUCUUCAAGGUUCUACCUUGACGAAUUGUAGUUUAAAGAAGUGUUUUCUGUUAGUGGAGCGGCAAAAGUUCUUUGGAAUAGGACAUCAUAGAGGGUGAGAAUCCCGUAUUUGGUCAUUCCUUCUAGCUUUGUGAUACACUUUCAAAGAGUCGGAUUGUUUGGGAAUGCAGUCCAAAAUGGGUGGUAAAUUUCAUCUAAAGCUAAAUAUUGGCGAGAGACCGAUAGCGAACAAGUACCGUGAGGGAAAGAUGAAAAGAACUUUGAAAAGAGAGUUAAACAGUACGUGAAAUUGUCAAAAGGGAAGCGUUUGACACCAGUGUUGUUUAGUUGAAAAUCAAUUCAAUAAUUUUUGAUUUUGAGUAGUAUUGACUUCAUCAGCUUGCUGCUUUCUUUUCAGAAAUUAUUGAAUGCACUUUUCAGUUAACAAGUCAACAUCAAUUUCUUUUGUUGUAAAAGGGUAAGAGGAAGGUGGCUUACGCUUCGGCGUAAGUGUUUAUAGCCUUUUACCUCUGCAAUCGGAGAGAUUGAGGACAGCAGCGUAGACUCUUCGGGGUUAGAUACACUUGUGCUAAGCUAUAGCCUUGUAUAGACAACUUGUUGACUAUGCUCAGUCAUGUAGCUUACUCGCUUGUGCUAUUUUACCUACGCUUAGGAUGUUGAUCUCUCACAGUCGAGC